RNAcentral lists this ribosomal RNA (225 nucleotides) under uncultured bacterium. RNAcentral's name for it is "partial 16S ribosomal RNA". It matches the Rfam family "Bacterial small subunit ribosomal RNA", at positions 524 to 748 of the family's 1533-position model. The record is from RNAcentral.
UACGUAGGGUGCGAGCGUUGUCCGGAAUUAUUGGGCGUAAAGGGCUCGUAGGCGGUUUGUCGCGUCGGGAGUGAAAACACCGGGCUUAACUCGGUGCUUGCUUUCGAUACGGGCAGACUAGAGGCAUGCAGGGGAGAACGGAAUUCCUGGUGUAGCGGUGAAAUGCGCAGAUAUCAGGAGGAACACCGGUGGCGAAGGCGGUUCUCUGGGCAUGUCCUGACGCUG